Molecule: ribosomal RNA, 550 nt
Filed under: uncultured bacterium
Lineage: Bacteria
Description: bacterial SSU rRNA
Rfam family: Bacterial small subunit ribosomal RNA
Source: RNAcentral
GAGUUUGAUCCUGGCUCAGGAUGAACGCUGGCGGCGUGCCUAAUACAUGCAAGUCGAACGCAUCCCGUUGAUUUGAAGUGCUUGCACUGAUAAUUAACAUCGGAUGAGUGGCGAACUGGUGAGUAACACGUGGGUAACUUGCCCAAAAGUAGGGGAUAACAUUUGGAAACAGGUGCUAAUACCGUAUAACAACGAAAAUCGCAUGAUUUUCGUUUGAAAGAUGGUUUCGGCUAUCACUUUUGGAUAGACCCGCGGUGCAUUAGCUAGUUGGUAGAGUAAUGGUUUACCAAGGCAAUGAUGCAUAGCCGACCUGAGAGGGUAAUCGGCCACAUUGGGACUGAGACACGGCCCAAACUCCUACGGGAGGCAGCAGUAGGGAAUCUUCCACAAUGGACGAAAGUCUGAUGGAGCAACGCCGCGUGAGUGAAGAAGGGUUUCGGCUCGUAAAACUCUGUUGUUGGAGAAGAACGAACGUGAGAGUAACUGUUCACGUUGUGACGGUAUCCAACCAGAAAGCCACGGCUAACUACGUGCCAGCAGCCGCGGUAAU